RNAcentral lists this unclassified non-coding RNA (1635 nucleotides) under Penaeus monodon (black tiger shrimp). RNAcentral describes it as "uncharacterized LOC119598645, transcript variant X1". The record is from RNAcentral. Lineage: Eukaryota; Metazoa; Arthropoda; Malacostraca; Decapoda; Penaeidae.
GAUGUUUUUAUUUACAUCCAGAAGUCGCAAUGACGCAAUACCGUGAAACGUCAGUCUAAAACCCAAAAGAAGAAGAAAAAGAAGUUAAACGUCAGUGUUUUCUGGAUCUAGCGGAACAUUUUGGGAAAUGUAAGAAAUCCACAAAUGGAAACCAGAAGCUAACGAGAGGUGAGUGAACAUCCAAGAGCAGAAGGUCCCUGUUCUACGUCAGCUUGCUUAGCGGUUGUAGGAUCUGUGAAGAAUGGACUGCCAGAUUUCUAUCUUCUUUCCUGCCCUGCUAUCAACCCUAUUUCAAUUGGUAUCUGCCGAAGAGCUCACCCAAGAUCCUCACCAGAUUGACCUUGGGAAUGUUCUGGCCAUUAUUGUGCUCUUGGUCAUUGGGAUAUUAGGGGGUCUGGCAUGUUUAGGGUCCUAUGCCAGGAAUCACUUGAGAAAUUCAUAUUAGCCUUGCAUUUCUCUGCAUUUAACUCAUUGCUAUUGGGUAUGACAUGUACAUCAUGCCUUGUCCACUGUGAUUUUACUGUUUUAAUGUUUACACAAACAUGGCUCCACAAGAGCUUUGUCACCAAAAGGUCAAUUACUAGUCCUCUGUAUCUCACUGAUUUUCUCAUUUCCUCAGUUUUUGGAUUUUUUUUUCUAAUUGCUUAUUACUAUUAUUAUUUUAAUGACCUUAAAAUUAUCAGAAUACCAGUAAUAAUGCUUACAAUUUUGAUAUUAAUAGCAUUAGAAAAAUAAUUUCCUAAGUAUUCAAGGACCGGGGAAAUAAGAAACAUCAUGUAGUUCUAAAUAACUCAUGGGUGACUGAGUAACACAAAACCACAGUGGACGCUUCAAGUACCUGGUGCCAGUGGAUUAAUCCUUUGUUAUGUUGAGUGUGUGAGAAUGGUCUGGCAGGGUCCUGAAUACUGCUUUUGUAGGAUGAUGAUGGAUGGUAGAAAAUUACUUGCUGGAUUUUCAGGCAGUUGGAUAAGCUUUGUGGAUGUUCAUCAUACUUUCUUAUUAUUGCUGUUAAGUAUUUAAAAAAAAUUAACCACUUGGAUUUAAUGUUUUAGAUUAGUUAAUUCUGAAUAUUCCUGGUAUUUUUCUAAAUGAGACAGUUUUUGUUUCAGUAGGAUAUUUGAAAUUAUCUAAGAGUGGAAAUGAGCUUUAAAUUUACUCUCAUUCCCCAGUUUAUCUUAACUAUUUUCUCUGUUGUUUUGCGUAUCUUAUAGCUCUUCCAGUGUUUUCAUCUAUAUUGACCGAAGUCUAGUCUUAGUAGUUAUGGGAGAUGUAUCAUUUUAUGGAAAUUGUUUGUAGUGUUUGUAAGUGUUAUUUUCUGUUAGUAUCAUUAUUUGAAGCAUGAAAGACUAUACAGUGUUUCAUGUCUAUGAAAAGUGUGAUCGUAAUGAUGCAUGUAAACCUGGCUAAGAGUUUUCCAAAGAAUACACAAUUACUAUGUUUUUUGUCUCUUCUAGAUUGAAUUACACAUGUUUUUUUGACAUUGUAUUUAUGAUUCAUGAAGAAAUCUUAUGCAUUAUAUCUAAGAAAACUGCAGUUAGUAUAAGUGAUCCAGUGGAGUGAUCUAUAAUCUAUGGAGUUAUAGAUUUGUGAUAUAUUAUCUUUUUUACAAUUUAUAAUAAAAUUUUCAGUAGCUUA